Molecule: ribosomal RNA, 433 nt
Filed under: uncultured bacterium
Lineage: Bacteria
Description: partial 16S ribosomal RNA
Rfam family: Bacterial small subunit ribosomal RNA
Source: RNAcentral
AACGAACGCUGGCGGCAUGCCUAACACAUGCAAGUCGAACGAACCCUUCGGGGUUAGUGGCGCACGGGUGCGUAACGCGUGGGAAUCUGCCCUGUGCUUCGGAAUAACUCAGGGAAACUUGUGCUAAUACCGGAUGAUGUCUUCGGACCAAAGAUUUAUCGGCAAGGGAUGAGCCCGCGUAGGAUUAGGUAGUUGGCGGGGUAAAGGCCUACCAAGCCGACGAUCCUUAGCUGGUCUGAGAGGAUGAUCAGCCACACUGGGACUGAGACACGGCCCAGACUCCUACGGGAGGCGGCAGUGGGGAAUAUUGGACAAUGGGCGCAAGCCUGAUCCAGCAAUGCCGCGUGAGUGAUGAAGGCCCUCGGGUCGUAAAGCUCUUUUACCAGGGAUGAUAAUGACAUUACCUGGCGAAUAAGCUCCGGCUAACUCCGUG